This is an RNA transcript of Myiozetetes cayanensis, 10551 nucleotides long. It is a transcript of the gene named TSC22 domain family member 2, with no coding region annotated. NCBI's taxonomy places the organism in Eukaryota, Metazoa, Chordata, Aves, Passeriformes, Tyrannidae. The transcript is spliced from 10 exons. The record is from RefSeq and is a predicted model, not a curated record.
CAGGGACGGGGCUGCGGUGCCCUCCCGGAGCGCCGUCCUGAGGGGACGGGGGGGGUCACAGCUGGGCUGCUGCGGCGGAGCGGUGCCCGCUCCUGGAAAUGCCCCGAGGGUCCGGCGCUCCGUCCUCCCCGUGGCCCGGCUCCGUUGAGCCGAGACGGCCCCUGCGCAGCCCGUGCAUUUCUAAUGUAUCGUUUCUACAGUCCCAGAUCUGCCUUUGCGCCCCUCGGUGAUGGGUGACCCCCGUGCCCUCCGCCCGAUCCCGCCGCUGCAACGUUCCCGGACCUCACCGCAGGCCCGGUGGGUCCCCGUCUCACACACCAGCAUCUGUUACAUUGUAUUUCUGCAGGGGUUUGCAACUGGCGAUUUCGGGGUUUAUUCUUCCAGAUUCCUCCAAGUCUCUGUAGCAAUAAUUUAGUUUCCACAUUCCGUUACAAUAGCCGGGGCUGGUGCUGGUGGUUUGCUGCAUUGAUGCUGGGCCCUGGGCAGGAUGGCUGCUCCAAGACUGUCAUGGGUCGUAGAAAUGUUCCCUAGCAACUUUAAGGGCGUGUUUUGGGGCAAUGGCUCUGUCUGUCUGUCUUGUCAUUGAAAUCGAUGGGGGGAUCACUUCCUUUUGAGCAGGGUGGUUUUGCCUUACAGGGUGUCUGUUGUGAUUCUCAGGGCAUUAGGAUGUGAUGGCUGUCCGUGUCAAUAGCUUUGUGGCUAUAAUUCAAGAAGUUAGAUCUCAUACUUGAAUAUGUCAAGGCAUAGUAUACAGUAAAUUAAUCUGCCUUUUCCUGAGGUUAUAUCCCCAGAUAUUUGUAAUGGAUACCCCUACAGCAUACUUCAGGGUGUUCUUAGACCUUUCAAAACCUAGUUCAGUUGUCAUGGGACGGAGUGUUGUUUUCUACUAAUUGCUUGGAUUACUAGAUACUUGGAGAAGAGCUCAUUUGCAUAUUUAAGCUUAAUUCCUUAAGUUUUUCCUCUGUUUUAUUUUCACAGUGCCUUUCCCCCUCUGAAUUUGGACAGCAGCAUCCAUGUAUCCCAGAAACAUCACUGUAUCUACCAAUGAGUUACAGGCUUUAACAUUCCUUUUGGCUUUUUAAAUAGCUAAAGGUUUUUGUGAAGUUUGGAUUGCCUUCAUCAUCUUCCCUCCACAGAUUCCUUCCAUGAGAAGGAGAAAAUGCUCUCUUCUGUCUGAAGGUGCCAUUGAGGGUCACUUCUCUUUUUAAUGCUGGUCUGUAGGAGGUCCCAGUUAAACACCAUUGCUGGCCCAGACUGGAAUGCAUCCAUCUGAAAUGAACAUGAGGGUGAUGAGCCCAUUAGUUUUAGAGUUCAACCAAAAUGUGUUUGACUUUUUUUUUUUUUUCCCAAGCUGCAGUAAGGAUUCCAAAUUGUGUUACUUUAGUAAGUGGAUUUAAUUAAUAUGGAGGCAGACAUCUCAUCACCCAGGGGCAGGCCUUGGGGAUUUAGGAGCUGCUUGUUUGCUAUGCUAACAUCAUUAUCCUUUGACUAAUGAGAGGGGGGUUUCGCAGGGACGGCAGGCAGCUCGGUACAAGCAUGCAGGUAUCCUACACAAGAACCUGUGGGUUUCCAAGACUUUAUCCAAAGGCUACACCCCUCUUGCCUGGAGAGAUCUCGCCUUCUUGCAUGCCCCCACCCUCCAAGGCAUUUGUCCAUCCCUUCUGCCCCAGGAGGAGUAGCUGUGCCUUCCUGAACCCCCUGAGCCCUCUCAGCCCACAUCCAGUCCUGCCUCAUGGGAGACAGAGACCCCGUGGACAUUGCCAGCUGAGCUGGGGCUGGGGGAAAAGGUGCUGCUUUCCUGGAAUCCUGGGAUUCCAGAGCCUCACUAGGUUGAUGUGUGGUGGUCCAGUGCCUCUCCUCUUUGACAGAGCAAACAUUUCACCUGGGUGUCAGAGUGCAGAGUGGGUCAGGUAAUACUGGUGCUGCCUCACAGGGAAUAUCACCUUUUGUAAGAACUGCACAGACCAGGUGAUCAUGGAAGUCUGGGAUCUUCUGAACAUAAAUGGAAGGAUGAGAGUAGAGGAUUUGCCACCUGCUUUGGUAGCUGAGCUUUUAGUCACGUUAUUUGUGAAAUAACUCUAGUAAUAUAUUUAGGAAGUGAAGUCUAAAUUGGGUUACUGUUAUUUAAUGCUAUGAAGCUACCAGGUAUCUUGUAUAAUUUGCAGAUUCAGCAGUCACCAGUGCUGCUUCUGAAAAUCAUGAUUCUUUAAUUCUGUUUUUACCCAUUUGUUUGUGCUCUAUGUUAUACAAUCAUUAUAAUACUAUUUGUAUACACACUACUGCAGCACCUCCUUUGAGUCUGCUGGAUUUAAGAAAAUGAGGGUGUACUCUGUAUGUUAAAGACUGUAAGAGGAGGGACCUCCAGGGUUUUGGUUUUUGUUGUAAGGCUUAAUUGGAAUAUAAGGCAUUUGUUAAGUGAAGGAUUUAUCUAUAUCUAUAUCUAUAGAUAUAGAUAUAUAUAAUUGUUAAAAUUGAUAGAUGUAGUAGGUCAUUUUAACAUCAGUACCUGGACUGAUGGACAUAUGAAAUGGGCUGAUUGUAAGCUAUAUCUGUAUGAAAAAUAGUUGUGAAAUAGUAAUUUCUUGCAUUUUAGUCUCUUCCUAUAUUUUGCCUGGUAGUUGUCCUUUCUGGAAUUUAAUUGCAUACUAAAGCCACAGUUUGAUGGGUUUUGUGCAGCUUGUAACAAUUACCGGUCUUUUUCCUUUGGAUUAGAACUUUGCCUGAAACUGAUGUUGGAUCAUAUCUAAGAAAAAUAAUCAUUUGAAAGAAUUUUAAAGUUCCAUCUCUGCUUAGUCAGAGUGUACUUACUAUUUAUAGCUUCGGGAGAAACUUCACAGCUUUUAUCUUGGUAACAGAAAAGUUGUAAUUGGCCAAAAAUUUGAAGGAGGGCUAUAUUUUGUUAAUAAUGUAACUUGGAGUUUUCUGUCAAGCCUUGUAACUACCAGAGCUGCUGCUGUGCUCAGAAUGGUGAGACAGCCAAAGGCAGGAUUACUUACCAUAGAAUCGUUUAGGUCGGGAAAGGCCUCUGAGUCCAACUGUUACGAUGUCCCAGAUCUACCUGUUUUUCACCAAGCUCAUCAUGUUUUUCACCAUUUGCAAAUAACUGUAACCAGCAUUUCUGUACAGACAGGAGGGCAAGCAACCACCAGCAGAACACAGCAGGGUUUUUCUGUGGAGUUAAACUUCACAGAACCCGGGCUCACGCGCUGUGGCUCUGGUGACUUCACCUCCUGACCAGACUGAGUUCCUGUGGCAGUCUUUCUCUUCACCACAAGUGCUUUCGGAAGUGCAGAGGAGAACACUGAUUUACAAGUGCUACAAGUCAGCUGGUGACAGCUAGGAGCCAUCUGUGUCAGCCUUGUAAAGGGACGAGCUGUGCGAGGUCCUUCCACGGCUACCUGAGGGACUUGGCUGAAAACCCAGGAAGCCACUAAAGGCUGUGAUGACUGUUAGCUAGAAAUAAAUUGUAAAAAUGACAUAUUAAUGAGUGGAAAACUUGAAGCUAGGUUUAAAAAAUACAGUAAUACAAAAUGAAGCAAUCAUUAGGACCUUAGUGCAGAGUUCUGUUGCACAGCUACUGUGCAUGAAGAAGGUCCUGUGCCAUGCCAGCAUAGCUGUGGCUGCACUGCAGAGAGCCCUGUACAGCUGUGCCUAAACCAUCCAGAAAGUUCUGGAAAAAAGAUGCUUUUCUGCUGUGUCUUAUGUUGUUUGGAACAGUGGUGUAACUCCAUGUGUGGAUGAGAGUUUUGUCUCUGUGGAGGAGUUUGGCCUGGUAUGAUCAACACAGAUAGCUCAGCAAAAUCAUUGUCUUCCUAAGGAUCAGUUACGUAAGCAGUUCUGAGGAGUUUCCCUUCCUUAUCCCCUAUUUGACCAUCAAGUUCAAACAGAACAAACCUAAAAUGUAACUCUGAAAAUUAGGUGCAAGCGCAGGGAUAUGGCUAUGUCAGAUAAGGGUAUGAAGUUGCUUCCAUUUCAGUGGCUUUCAGAAGUACUUAAAAUAUGAGGAAGGACAGUUCUUUGUGCAUGUGGUUUAUAGACUGGCCAAAGCACUAAAAAAGAUGUCUGAAGUCAUGGAACUUUGCUCAGCUUUAGGACUUCUAAGAUAAAUUUUUGCUGAUGGCCAACAAAAAAUAAACGUUAAUCCUAGAAAUUAAGAUGUAAAUUCUUACUUGGACAGGUAAUCUCUGGUUCAUAAUGGUGUUUUGAUGUGAGUCCCUACAGGAGUGAGAAGUGCAGAAUUAUGCCCAUAUGACCCAGCUUUCUAUGCUUUCACAAUUACCAAAUAGUCGGGCUCCUCUGUGUGCUUAGCUCCUGCAGCAUUUUGUUUUGCUUUAAAUCAAGCAAACAGAACCCAAAUAGUAAAUGUUAACUUUUCAGUUAUGAAACAAGGGCAUGGACUGUGAAAUUCAGUAAGUUUGUAGAUAGCUUGACACAAUGUAGGGAAGGUGGGAGCAUCAUCAAUCCAAAGUCUUUACAUUUUUUUGCCCAAGCGCAUGGUGACUCAUCAGGUGCCUCUGGAAGCUGACUGUUGCAGUGGGUGAAAGGUAGUGUGGAAGUUAAUCUGAAAAGCCAAAACUGAGGCUAAGAAAUGCAAUAAGAGGGUUGGUGAAGCACAAAGUUAGAGGGAGAGAAAGCAGAAAGGUGGAAAAUGGAGCAGAGCAAGCACAGGAUCUUGACACUCAUUUUUUCUGCAGAUAUUUGUGCAGUGUGGUAACACAGGCAACAGUCUUACUGUGGCUUCAUCUGCUUGGGUUUUUUCUCUCUUACAGUUACUGGUGGAUACAAUUUUACUUAUUUAAUAGGUGAUCUGACUUUUUGGACUGUGUGAGCAUGCAUUAAGAAAGAAACCCCAAACUUUAGCUCCUGCCGUGCUGCGUUAUGGUGCACAGCAGGGACCCCUCCCACGGGACCCCACCCCGGCCAUGUCCUGGGGAGUGCUCCCAGCCCGGGCUGUGUUCCCAGCUCCGUGUCUGUAGGGGAUUGUUUCUGCAUGGCUUUCCGCUGCGCCUUCCGUCGCCCACGUGGUUCAGCCGGGGAGCUCUGGGGCUUUGUUCAGGGCGUUAUUUCCUUCAUUCAGCUUGCUUUCACUGACAUAUCUAUAAAUAUGUUUGUCUGGGUGCUGUUUCCUCCUCUGGUCGCUAAUAAUUUCGCUGUUAAUGCUUGUUACUUGUUAAAUAUCCACAGGAUUUUUGGAUCAUAGAUACAUAUAUUUAUCUGUGAUACGCAAUUUCUACCCAAAAUAUUCACUGUCUGCAAAAGCAUUAAAUAAUAAUUCUGAAUAUGUUCUAAAUGUAUAUCUAAAUGUAUGUCUAAAAUAAUAUAUUCUAAAAACAUAUUUUCUCAAAGAAAUUAUACAGUUCGAAUCUUAUAAUGCUCUAGAAAAUUGCAAAUGAAUAUUAUUGUUUGAAUGAAGCAUAAAUGGCUAAAUGUGGGGUUUUUUUGCAAUUUUUUAAAUUUUAUACUAAAUUUUUCUUUAGCCGCAAAAAACUCAAUACUAAUUCUGAGCAGCAGUCAACUCACCUGCAGUUAGCUUGUCAAAGAAGCACCAGUGUAUUUAAUAUUUAGAAUAUUUUGGUGUGAAUCUUUGAUAGUUGAAGUACGACAUAGUUUCAGCACUGACAAAAUUAUUUCUGCCAUAGUGGUAGGGCUUUUCUCUCAAUUGCAUCCAGUCAAAUACCAUGUUUUUGAGAAACAAAGCAUAUGAACAUUAUUCUGCUCAAAGUUGUCUACAUAAUCACAAAAGAUGAUGAAAGAAAUAUUUUAAAAUACAUGAAUUAUGUACUUAGAAGACAUAUAUUCAGUCUGAAAGGCUAAUACUGUGCAACUGUAGAGCAGCCACUCUGGUAUGGGUGAAAGGAAACAUUAAGAAUAUAAUGGAAUAUAUAAAUGGAAAUGGAAGAAACGAGGGAAAAUAUAAUUGAGUAAAGGGGAAAGCAGCCUAAAAAUGGUGUGGUUUCAUAUGGAAUGUUUUCUUUCAAAGUACCUCUCUACGGACAACAAGUAAUUCCAUCUCUCGACCAAACUGUUCAUUGUGGAAGGUGAAGGUGUGGGCAGGUGUGGCGGGCAGAGCCGCUGCCAAGGCUGGGGCAGCUGGGGCAGCUCCUCCAGUGCCACACUUGCCUGGCAUUCCCAGAGACCUGGUGGGGCUUCAGGAGGUCUUGGUCUUGCUUGUACCCCUGCCCCGUGGAUGGGCUGUCCCCCAGCACUGCUGCUGUGAUCACACAGUGAGUGCCCGUGGAGGAAAUGUCUGGAUCUUGGGCUGGGUGCUGUUCCUGAGCAGACACUGGGUUUUUGCUCAGCCUUUACACAAUUGGGAGCGGACUUGUGGUGCUGGUACUGCCAGGAAGAAGAAUCCAGUCAUCUGCUAUGUAACUCAACUGACUGUAUUCCCAACCUCCUCAUGCAUCAGUGCUGCUGGAGUGCCCACAGCUGCUCACACCUCUCUUUGGUCCCCUGUGUUUCCAACAGUGGUGCUCCUGGUGUGUACUCGGGUUAUGUGAAGAUGAACAUGGGACAGAUGCAUCUACUACAGCUUGUCUGUACUCUGCCCAAUUGGCAUAGUGCUUUUUAAAGCCUUGUAACUUGGGUGUGUUACGUUUAAUGAGCGUGAAAGGAUUUCUCCCAUCUCAGUUUUCUUUGAAGCUCAAAUGUAAAAUGCAUAAUGAGGAUCACUUUUCUUAAAUGAAAAUACAGGACUUCAGUAUGUAAGAAAAAAUUCCAACAUGUUACUUGAACAAUCAGAACAAUUGUCCUCUGCUAAACAAACCUUGUUUUGGGUUAGAGUGGCAUGCAUACAGUAGUUGGGACAUGCAGCAUGGUUUGGUUACAGCACUAGAAACAGGUACAGUUCUAGCAGGUGUCAUUGCAAAAAAAAAUGCAGAAAAAGAGAGGAAGGGAACAUUAGCACCAGCUAGAUGUUUUGUGUGUUGGCAAUAGAUACCCACCUUCUGUGCUACCAUUAGGAGGUGUCUGUGCAAGAGGUAGUGGUGACCUGCUGGCAGGUGCUCAAGCUGUGCAUUUAACAAAAAGGGCAUUUCAGAGCCACUGAUAGCCUGGCUUUGGCUGGGGGUUAGCUGGGUGAACUGGGAUGCAGCAGGAGGGCCGUGGGUGCUCAGAGAGGAGCCGUGCAGGGCGCGUUGGUGAUGGAGCAUGGCAGGGAAUGAGGUGACGGGCACGGGGACCCCUCUCACCAUGGCAGAGGUGUUUUGGGGGCUGUGCCCUAGUCCAGGCUCUCUUGGCCCAAGGUACAGUAGCUUUAACAUGAAACCCUUAUACACUGUAACAGCAUUUCCACAGCAUUCUCGACUGCGUGGGACAGCCCUGGGAUUCCAGGCUGUCUGCUGCUCCUCCAUAGUUUUGUGAGCAUGUUUGCUAUUUUUGGAGUGCAAAUCUCUCAGUAACUUCCCGGCCCCUGGCACUAGAUGGAGCUUCAAUCUACUUGCACUUGGAAGUCAACUGUUAAGUUUAACCACAAGUUAAAAAUAGGGAAGAAUAAAUGAAGGUAUGCAUGCCUGCUGCUACACUUGCAGUGCCUCUUUCCCUGUUUGUAAGCAGAGUGGUGUAAAUUAUAAUGUAAAUUUAAUUUAAGUGAAAAUUAAAAUAUUGCAGGAGAAUCUCCUUGAUCUAGUACAUGCUUUAUAAUCACUAGCACCCUUUAAUAUACUCUCAGGCCCAUGACAGAAAUUACUGAAAGUUAGAUAUGCUGGAAUUGUGCUGCUGUUUGCAGUGCUCUUGCAAGAAUUCAUUUGCAUUUUCCCUUCGUGCUACCAAAGCCAACAAUUCAGAAUCAUCUGUUGUCAGUCACUUCAUUUCCCCUCCAUGUAUUACCCUUAAAAAUACUGAACAAAUGGAAAGAAAUUGGAAAGAAAAGCUUUGAAAAUGUAGUGUUUGAUACUGCACAUUUCUUCUUUCCUACAGCCCAUGAAUGCAGCCUCCCACUGCCGCCCAGGCUGGCCUUGCUGGGUGCCAGCAUCCCAGUGCCACGGUGACCCACAGACACAGAUCUCAAAAGCUGAACUGCUCUAACUUCACAUGCCAAAGUAGAACCUACUUCUUCUGCCUCUGCCUUGCGCUCAGCAUCCAGCCUUGCCCACGGUGCAGUACAGUAGAUAUUGCUGUGGGAGAGCCUGGCUGGUGAGACAGAGUUCCUUCCUGCUCACCUCUUUGAGCAUCAAGCUGUGUCAGCUGGGAUGACUGGAGAAGCCCAUCUCUUUCCCCAUCCUCUGAGACCAGGAAAUUGAAAGUAAGGAAAUCUCAUCAGGAACAACACUCAUGUGCAGGUCCCAAGCCCCCGCUGCACCUGAAUUCAACUGAUGCAAAGAAGCUGAAUUUAAAAUGUGCUACAGAACAAAGCAAGGCCAGCUGGAGGAUUUCCUGCAGGAGAAAGGAAAAGCCUGGGGAGGCAGUGGGCUGGAAUGCUGAGCUGUGACACAUUCCUGCUGGCUAUAGUCUCAUUCUGUUUGUGCCUUUACUGAGGCGGCCGGGCCCCGGGGUGUUUGCAGCACUGCGGUUUGACAGCGACAGCCUGGGAAGGCGAUCCAUGCAGUGAUUAAGUCACUUUCGCAAGGUCACGCGGCGAAUCGCUGGCGCCGCCAGGAAUAGCACCCCGAGCCUCUUGGCUCUCUCGAGCCCACCCUCGGCACUCCAGCCCGAAUUCCCCUGGUUUUGUGGCUUUAAACAUGGUGCACUCUGCUGGCCUUUGCCAUGGCCUGACAAGAGAGAUCCUGACUCGUUCCAGUGGGUGCUGGUUACUGAGGAUUAUGAACCUUUCUGCAGCAAGAUUUGAAACAACAAGAUUCCAGUUUAAAUCAAAGUCCCUAGGAUUCACUUGUGAUUUCCAGUAAGGUUUCUUUAAGUGUGGCGAGUUGCAAAGCGUGAUGGGAGCAGACAAUGUUUAUGCUGGUAACAGGAGUUGAAAAUUUUUCCUGUCAUGGAAAAGAUGAACAAGCCUGUUCCAUGUCACCUUUCUUUUCUGAGACCUCAGUGUGACUCUGCCGUGCACAAGAAAAGCACACCACAGGCUGGAGCGACCAGGAAGUCUUGUCCCCAAGUGGCUUUGUGCUCUUCAAAGAUACCUGAAGGAGCCAGAGAAGGUGGCUGGUGUCCAGAAUAUGCAAAUGCAGGUUUGUUCCUUCUGCUGAAUGGACUGUGCACAGAGAAGUGUGUCUCCAAAGAGUGAAUUUUUUGGCCCUUUGGAAAUGUGUGAAAGGGACAGCAGCAUAUGGACUUGGCAUGCCCCAGGGAUGGCUGCAGGAGCUUGGGAACAUUUCGUGCCUGCAGCAAGUAUAGGAAGAAGGGAGGAGGAGAGCAGAGCGAGCAGUUGCAGUGAACUGUGUGGUGAUGGCACUGAGCUCUGUGGCUGCACCGGCGGGGCCCAGCCACGACCAGGUCUUCAUCACAGCUGAGAUCUGCUGUUUUCUGGUUGGAGUGCUUUUUAUAGCCUGCAUUAUAAGGAAACCCACACUUGGGGAAAGGAAGAAGGAAUUAAAUGGAAAACUAACCACAGGCCUGGCCAUUAAUCCUUCUGGGGAAAGCAUGGUCUGGGCUGCAUUCUUCAGCAUCCAGACCCUCUGUGGGAUACACCAGGUGAAAGUUGUCAGCAGGGUACUAAAGCAAAGAGAGAGCAAGGAUUAACAUGGGGACUUGAUGGGCUCAGUAUAGAUAAUUCUGCCCCUCUACAGUGACUUCCAGAAAUGGGGGGGAUUCUACAGCCAGUGUGAUUUGGCAAAUACCCAAAAUAUAACACGGAGAUCUGACAGUAGGGAUUGCAGAUAGAAAAUGUGGCAUUCUCUGGCACAGCUGUCAUAUUAUACUAAGCCUGUUACUUCCCUUUAAUCCUGAUUAAUACUCUGCAGUCUGAGCUGGGUCUCUGGUCAGCCAUUGUUCUGGGGGGUCUGCUGCUGUUCUCCCACUGGAACCUGUUCAUUUGUGCUCUUUCCAUGAGGAGCAGCCAAAAUCAGGAGUUAAACGUUGCUGAUAUUAAAAAGGGCUCCUGGCAUCUGCCCUGAAUGGAGAAAUCAUCAUGUCAUUCAUUAAAGAUAUCCAUGCUUGUACAGGGAACACAUGUGUACCAGAUGGUGCCAGUUCAGGAUUCCCAGAGGGAGGAGGAGAGGUCCAUCCCUGCUGAAUGCCAGAGCCACCCCAGUCCCAGGGUCCCCCAAGGGUCCUCCCUCAUCUCCCUGCAGCCUGGCAGAGAUGCCCCUGGACCUCUCCCAGCUGAGGCUGCACUGCGACCCCAAACUGCCAAGGAAAGUACAAAAUUGGUGUAUCCUGGGGGAGGGAGGGAGGGAUGGGGGCUGAGAUCUGGUGUCUCGAGACCAUGGUUUUUAGACAGUGCUGAUCCAGUGUCUUAUUCCCAGCACUUUUCAAAUUGUGUUAUUUCCUACAGUUUGCAACUACACACAGUAGUCAGAGGUUAUGACACGUAGCUGACUUUAAAGGACACUGUAACAAAUGCUAUGCACAUGUUCUAUAAAUGUUGUUAUACCCUGUAUUUUAUAGCUUUAGACUGCAAUAAAUGAGGACAAACUAUGUGCUUGUAGUGUGAGAAUA